CGCCAAUUCUGGUAGCUUGUGGA
RNAcentral lists this non-coding RNA (23 nucleotides) under Arabidopsis thaliana (thale cress). The record is from RNAcentral. Lineage: Eukaryota; Viridiplantae; Streptophyta; Magnoliopsida; Brassicales; Brassicaceae.